UGGAUCGGGUUUGAAAGGAGAGCUCUGCUUCCUCAUACAUACUCAUCUUUUCUAUGGAUAAGUAUGAGGAAAUGGAGAUCUCCUUCCAUUCCACCUGUUUUA
This 102-nucleotide microRNA precursor is filed under the name Gallus gallus (chicken). RNAcentral describes it as "microRNA 1684 (MIR1684)". The stretch from base 7 to 93 matches the Rfam family "mir-1684 microRNA precursor family". The record is from RNAcentral. Lineage: Eukaryota; Metazoa; Chordata; Aves; Galliformes; Phasianidae.